Molecule: ribosomal RNA, 451 nt
Filed under: uncultured bacterium
Lineage: Bacteria
Description: bacterial SSU rRNA
Rfam family: Bacterial small subunit ribosomal RNA
Source: RNAcentral
GUAGGGAAUAUUGCGCAAUGGACGCAAGUCUGACGCAGCAACGCCGCGUGAGCGAUGAAGGUCUUCGGAUCGUAAAGCUCUGUCAGAGGGGACGAACCGUUCCGUGCUUAAUAAGCACGGGGCCUGACGGUACCCUCAGAGGAAGCACCGGCCAACCCCGUGCCAGCAGCCGCGGUAAUACGGGGGGUGCGAGCGUUGUUCGGAUUUACUGGGCGUAAAGGGCGUGCAGGCGGGUCGACAAGUCCUGUGUGUAAUCUCCCGGCUCAACCGGGAAACUGCAUGGGAAACUAUUGAUCUUGAGUGCGAGAGAGGAUGGCGGAAUUCCUGGUGUAGCGGUGAAAUGCGUAGAUAUCAGGAGGAACACCGGUGGCGAAGGCGGCCAUCUAGCUCGACACUGACGCUGAGACGCGAAGGCCGGGGGAGCAAACAGGAUUAGAAACCCGGGUAGUCC